AUAGCGCACUCCAAAAUAAAUAUGAAAUAUAAAAAAGCUGAAGAUGAUCAAAUGCCCUUUCCAUAAUUACUUUAUUCAACGUCUUGCGUCUGCUACGUCGAUUUUAGUUUUAUAAGAUUCUACGAAAAUGGUUAUCACGAACGCUCUCUUAAGAUUAUUAAAACAGACAUUAUUACUAUCACACGAUAAAAUUUUUCCAUUUCCCUUUUUACCGGAAGCGGUUGAGACGUUCGAACCGGACCGACGAAGAAGAAUAAACAUCUAAAAGAGGCCCAUUCUCCAGCUUUCCUCUGAGAAAACACCGUGAGGCUUUUACAAGACGACCAGAGGGAUAGCAUCAGUGAAAGGCACUCAGUGUUCAGUUAUUAAUCUCCUGCCGCCGUUGGCCCUUUCAUAAAAGAAGAAUGCCAACGCUACAGGUCCGUAUGGUUUCCUGUCGCUAUGCCCCUGCGGCAUUCAGCGAUCACAUGACCGAAUUAACAGCAUUGUCUCAAGAUUUGCAUUGGGGAAACUCGGGGGCCGGAGCACUACUAAGCCAGGCCUGCUUUCUUUCAGGUCCGGGGGGACC
Long non-coding RNA from Puntigrus tetrazona (Sumatra barb), 568 nucleotides. RefSeq lists it as uncharacterized. The transcript is spliced from 3 exons. The record is from RefSeq and is a predicted model, not a curated record. NCBI's taxonomy places the organism in Eukaryota, Metazoa, Chordata, Actinopteri, Cypriniformes, Cyprinidae.